UGUCUCUACAGCUCAGUAUCUCGGAAAAGCUGGAUGAUAUAGCGACUAAAAUAAUCGAAUCGAAUCCUGAUGAGUUCAAUGCCCUGAACCAUGGCGAUGGUUGGUGCAAUAACAUCAUGUAUCAGUACAACGAGAAAAAUGAGAUAUCGAACACAUAUUUCGUGGAUCUUCAACUACCGAAGUGGGGAUCAGUGGCACAGGUAAAUAUUCGACUCUUAUUCCAUCGCAAUUGCCAGCUAAUCAUCUUAUUUAUCUCAGGAUUUGUACUACUUUCUCAUAUCGUCAACAAGUUUGGACAUAAAAACAUCAAAAUUUGAUUACUUCAUUUGGUUCUAUCAUUCGGAACUCGUUAAGCAUCUCCAAUUGCUGAAAUAUUCGAAGCCUCUGCCCACGCUGAGAGGCAUCCGUAAUGAUCUGUCCAAUCACAGUGGUUGGGGUGAGUAAUUCUAUCCUAAUAUCCCAUUAGCAAUCUUAAUUAUAAUCAUAAAUCUAUUAGGUUUAGUGUGCUGCACAUCUGUAAUGGGAGUUGUUUUACUGGAUCCAAUAGAGGAUGAUGAUGGUGAUUUCGAUCAAAUCCUUAGCAGUGAAGACAGUAGCUUCAAGAAAUCCAUUUUCACCAAUCCCAGAUACCGAAAGCAUGCAAAGGUCCUUUUGCCUUGGCUGCAGCAUCGUGGCGCCAUGGAAUAGUAUUAAUCAGAGUUAUGCAUAGGCUCUCAGUAAACGACAAAGCUCAAGUUUCUAUGAGGUUCGAAAGAUUACAAUAAGUGACAUCCUUGUACCUAUAUUUUAUGAUAUGAUAGUAAUUAAAUACACUUCUGCUAAUCGAAAGCCCAAA
This 835-nucleotide long non-coding RNA is filed under the name Drosophila guanche. The record is from RNAcentral. Lineage: Eukaryota; Metazoa; Arthropoda; Insecta; Diptera; Drosophilidae.